This 708-nucleotide ribosomal RNA is filed under the name Nosema granulosis. RNAcentral's name for it is "partial small subunit ribosomal RNA". It matches the Rfam family "Microsporidia small subunit ribosomal RNA", at positions 77 to 827 of the family's 1311-position model. Lineage: Eukaryota; Fungi; Microsporidia; Nosematidae. The record is from RNAcentral.
AGACGAACAGCUCAGUAACUCUUAUUUUAUUUGAUGUAUUAGGAUUAUAACUAUGUUAAAUUAUAGAUAACAAUAAUACAAUAAGAAUAAGAUCUAUCAGUUAGUUGUUAAGGUAAUGGCUUAACAAGACUAUGACGGAUAACGGUAUUACUUUGUAAUAUUCCGGAGAAGGAGCCUGAGAGAUUGCUACUAAGUCUAAGGAUUGCAGCAGGGGCGAAACUUGACCUAUGAUAUGAUAUUGAGGCAGUUAUGAGUAGUAUUUUUAAUUAUUGUAGUAUUGUAAGUAUAUACUACAAGAUAAAUCGGAGGGCAAAUCGAGUGCCAGCAGCCGCGGUAAUACUUGUUCCGAUAGUGUGUAUGAUGAUUGAUGCAGUUAAAAAGUCUGUAGUUUAUGAUUAAUAAGCAUUGUGAGGUAUAUUGUAUGGUUAGGAGAGAGAUGAAAUGUGAUAACCCUAACUGGAUGAACAGAAGCGAAAGCUAUAUACUUAAAUGUAUUAUUAGAACAAGGACGUAAGCUAGAGGAUCGAAGAUGAUUAGAUACCAUUGUAGUUCUAGCAGUAAACUAUGUUAAAUCAUAGAUACAUUUUAUAAUAUGUAUUUAUGUAAAGAAAUUAAGAUUAUAUUGACUCUGGGGAUAGUAUGAUCGCAAGAUUGAAAAUUAAAGAAAUUGACGGAAGAAUACCACAAGGAGUGGAUUGUGCGGCUUAA